GCGCCCCGGCCCGCCAGCCGCGGCUCGCGCGAGGCCCCGCGCCGCCGCCUUCCCGGCGCCCCCCGCGCGCCCUCCCCCUGCCCGGCUCGGAGGGCGGGCGCGGCGGCGCGCGUGCGCCGGGGGGCGGCCUGCAUGGCGGCGCCUGCGGGAGCCGAGGCGAGGUUGAGUAGGUCAUCUUGUAAUGGAAGAAGGUGGAGCUGACCAUGAUGUUGCUAUGGAAGGAUCUAAUGAUUUGUUCAUAGACAACUGUAAUGGCACAGAAGAGUCAGAAACGAAUGAUCGGGUUUUUCAGCAAUUAACCUGCAUGGAUUCCAGGGAUCCAUUGUUCGGACAAAGUAACUCUCCUGCAGCCUUGCCCAUCACAGUACGCCUCUCAGGAAGUUCUCCAUCAUCAGCUGUGCCUGUGCGGCCACCCCAGCUGCAGCCUCACUCUGCAGAGGAGUUUCACUUGGUAGACCAAACUGGGCAGCCUCUCUAUGAACUGCAGCCCCUAGGAGGGCCCAGUGCACCGAUGAUGAUUGUUGCCAGCCAGUCAGAAAAUGGACAGGUGCUGCAUGUCAUUCCUUCUGCCCAGCCAGGAAUGGCCCAAGUGAUUAUUCCUCAAGGUCAGCUUCUGGAUGUGACCAGCACGCAGGAUGUUGCGGAAGAGAAGUGUGGUGAUGGGAACUUGCAGACUGUGGUGGUGGCUGCUAUAGCAGACAGUGCAAGCAGUUACAUUCUACAUCCACAGGCAUCUCUCACUGUAUCGAAAAAACCAACCACCAGGGUAGUGGAAGAUCCCUUUCCCAUCCCUCUCCAGCCAUUGCCACCAAAUACACCUGCAUGGGCACGCCGUCUCAGGAACUGUGAGAAAAUUGGGGACUCGUACCGCGGCUAUUGUGUGAGCGAGACAGAAUUAGAGAGUGUUCUAACGCUACACAAGCAGCAAACACAAAGCGUGUGGGGGACGCGCCAGUCUCCAAGCCCAGCCAAACCUGCCACACGAUUGAUGUGGAAAUCUCAAUAUGUCCCAUAUGAUGGGAUCCCCUUUGUCAAUGCAGGAAGCAGAGCCAUUGUAAUGGAGUGCCAAUACGGGCCAAGGAGGAAAGGGUUCCAGCCCAAAAAAGCGGGUGAGCAGGAAAGCGCCUCUGGCCAUCUGUACAAAGCCACUUGUCCAGCAAGGAUCUAUAUUAAAAAGGUUCAGAAGUUUCCGGAAUACAGGGUUCCUACUGACCCUAAAAUUGACAAGAAAAUCAUAAGAAUGGAACAGGAGAAAGCAUUCAACAUGCUGAAGAAGAACUUGAUAGAUGCUGGCGGUGUCCUCAGGUGGUAUGUACAGUUACCCACUCAGCAAGCCCACCAAUAUCAUGAAAUGGAAACUUCCUGCCUCCCUUCUUCACCUUCCCAUUUUUCUGUGUCUUCUCCUGAGGAAGAGGAGGAAAUUGUUAGAGAUGAGAACUGUACUUUGCCCUCCCGACUUCAUCCUCAAGUGGCAGACAAGAUACGAGAACUGGUGUCUCAGGGAAUAGAGCAAGUCUAUGCAGUGAGGAAGCAACUAAGAAAGUUUGUGGAAAGAGAAUUAUUCAAGCCUGAUGAAGUGCCAGAAAGACAUAACCUGUCCUUCUUCCCCACUGUGAAUGACAUCAAGAACCACAUUCAUGAAGUGCAGAAGUCCCUGAGGAAUGGCGAGAUGGUGUAUAAUUCAGAAAGUAUCCCAGCAACACUGCAGUGGACCACAGACAGUGGGAAUGUUCUCACAGAAACAGUGACUGUUACAUUUGCAUCACCACCUUCAGAUGGGAGCUCAGCAGCAGAGUCAGUCAUCAACAAAGCAGAAUCCAACCAGAGCGGGGAGUCCUUGCUACCAGAAACAGCUCAGCUGUUGUCUUCACUCUCUUCACUUCAGCCCAAGAUAUUUGCACAACUUCAGGGAUUACAGCUGCAGUCAACUUGUACCUCCACAAAUGGAUCAACAGCCCUGAUAGCUGUAAAUAACCAUUCCCCUCCCAGCCCUACAAGUCUCCUGGAAUCCAUAGGGAGUGCAAUAACCAACCAUUCUCUAGUACUUAGUCAGGGACACAGUCUGCAAGCAGGUGCUGGCCUAGCACAGCAUAGCACCACUGCCUCUGCUUUUGAGACUUCACCUGGCUCUGAUCAGAGUCUGGUCACCACAGGCCAGCUGGUAGCAGUUGGAGGGGUAGAUGACUCCAGAAGCCUAGAAGGAGCAGUCCACCAGAUUCUCUUAGGAGAUGUACAGACUGUUCCAGUACGGAUUGUGGACAGCCAUCCAGCACUUACUCUGUCUACCUCAAGCGUGCUCAGUAUCCACACAGAUGUGUCUUCCUUCACACUUAGGGCUUCCACCCACGUCCCAUGCCCUCAGGCCCUCUGGUUCUCAGUGUUUCACUGUCAUACUGUUGGAGCAGCUGGUCAGAAACUAUCCAGGAAGCAACAACUAAGCUGUUCUUUCUGCUUCCCCACUCAAGAAGUUGCACAAGACUGGAAGGGACAUGGAGAUCAUGAAGAAGAAAGCAUUCAAACUGUCCUUCAAAAACACCAUGUUCAGAGCCUGAAAGGACCACUUACCUCUGAGAGUACUCCACACAACCAGCAAGAGACCAGAACAGAGAACAGAAGAGGAAGUUAAUUUUGUGAAAAGCUGCUUGCAGGAGUUAGAAAGCCCUUGAAGUUACAGCUCAAGAUUGCAGUUUCUUCUGGUUGAAGUGGUUCACUUUAAAUGUGCACUAGUCAUCUUCUGAAUGCGAACUGAUGUAACAACUCCAUGUUCUUGGCUGUUGACAAAGCUCUUAUCGCAUCUGAGGUGUUUCGUACAUGGAAUGGGAUGGAGAAAGUGGGAACCUUCUUGACCUUCUACUGAGAACAGAUGACCUGUGGAAAGAAAGCUUUACCAGUUUUAGAUUGCUGUCUUCACAGUAAUUUGGUGGGUGCACAGGUUUUUCAUGUCAGGUUCUAGUGCAUGUCUAACUUUGAACAUAAUACAAGCCAUAAAAUUACUUUCCCCUGGCCUCACCAUUUGUUUUUGGGUUUUGUUUUGUUUUAUUGUUGUUGGUUUUUUGUUUCCUACCACUGUACAUACUCAGCACUUUUUGAGAAUGGGGGAAUUGUUUUAACAUGUUCUCAUCUACCACUUUUCUGCCAUUCUCCCAUUGCCUCUUUCUCCUAGCACAGAAACAAAACAGAGCAGCGCAGAAACAAAAAAUUACUUCUUUAAAUAACCUGCUCUAUCAACCUUAGUUUCCCAUGUUUGGGGAUUAAUUUCCUCUCUGCUUUAUUGUGCUGGAGGUUGAUUCCUUGCAUGAAUGAAAUGUAAGAUGCUGUUAUCUUUUGCUUGACGAGGAGGAGAUACUGGGCUGAGCUCCACUACCACCUUAACUCCAAAAGUUCUUGCAGGAAGCACUUGCUACAGGUUCUGCUCCUGCACCUGCAUUUCCAUGCAGGCCAGCACAACUGCAGGGCUGUGCUGAUGUGAGCAGCAUACUGCACUAUGUGUAGCAGCAAAUUAUCAGUACAAAUAACUGUCCUUUGCCCCCUUAUAUUGUUUUGAAUCCAGAUUAGUCUGUAGGCCUGGCCCAUUGUGCACCCCACAAAUGACAAUUUGGGCAAAACUUGAAGGGGAGCACAGGAGAGGGUCAGGAAGUUCUUUAAUGUCCAACUUUUAGGUUAUGCUUCUGUAUUGGGUGCAGGUGCCCAGAUGUGGGUGGCCCUGUGCAAGACACAGCUGGUUCCAGCCAGCUCUGCAUUGGACCCCACUGCAGGACACAGCUGAGCUCACCAGCAAAGCUGGUGGCACUUCUGUGGAAGCAUGUUUAAGAAAGGGCAAAAUGCUGCAUGGCAGGGAGCAGUGAGGAAGAAAGUGAGAGAAACAGUUCUCUGAAAACCACGGUCCGAGAAGAAGGAAAUGGAGGAAUUCCUUCAGGUGCUGGAGCAGAUUUCCCUGCAGCCCACAAAGGAUCCCAUUCUGGAGCAGGUGGAAAUUUUCCUGAAGGAACUGCAGUCCACAGAGAGGAGCAGGCUUAUGCUGAAGGACUGCAGCCUGUGGACAUGACCUAUGGUGGAGCAGGCGAAAAGCGCGAGGAGGAUGGAGCAAUGCAAAGGAGCUGUUACAGACUGACUGCAACCCCUCAUUCCCCUUUGCCCUGUGCUGUUUCAGGUGUGGGGGAAAGCAGAGGAGUUGGGGGGUUUAAGGUUUGAAGUUGAGCCUGGGGAAAGAGAGGAGCGUGAGGGGAAGGUGAUUUUUAAUUUCUUUUUACUUUUCACUAUUUUAAUCUAUUUGGCAAUAAAUUAAUUUUCUUCACAUUGAAUCAAGUACUUGACAUUUAUAUCUGGACUCAAACCACAAUGGGAAAUACUGAAAUCAUUUUUCUUUGAUCAGUGCAAUCCAAUAUUGCCUUUAAUUUUUUAAGUAGGACACAAAAUGGAUCAGAUUUUAGUUUUUAAGAAGUCCAUCUGUGUGUAGAAAGGAGCGCACCUUGUUUGAAUCAGGGAGUGCAUUUUUGGAUGUAUUCUGGUUAGGCCUUUCAAGUUCUGCUCAUUCACCUUUUCACUAGAGUAAAUCUCAGCUGCACAGUCAACUCAGGAACAGGUCUAAUCCAUUGCAUUUCUGCUGAAGAAGAAUAUCAGUCAUAUUUUUACAGGUUUGAGCAUGAGAAUCAUUCAGAGGAGAGGAUGCUGCAGCAGUAGAAUCUACUUUAUCUACUUUGGUAGUGGUGUUCUUGGAGAUGUUCAGGAUGCAGCAUCUUCAUGGCAUUGUAUCUAGCUGUGUUUCAGAGAGUAGCAAAGUUUGGGGUGAGUGACAUCUUCGGUGAAAGUACUGUUAAUCUUGGGAAAAGAAAUAAAGAGUUUGGGAAUG
RNA transcript from Falco peregrinus (peregrine falcon), 4849 nucleotides. It is a transcript of the gene named calcium responsive transcription factor, with no coding region annotated. The record is from RefSeq and is a predicted model, not a curated record. The transcript has 20 exons. Lineage: Eukaryota; Metazoa; Chordata; Aves; Falconiformes; Falconidae.